This 421-nucleotide ribosomal RNA is filed under the name uncultured bacterium. Its description in RNAcentral is "bacterial SSU rRNA". It matches the Rfam family "Bacterial small subunit ribosomal RNA", at positions 355 to 774 of the family's 1533-position model. The record is from RNAcentral.
UAAGGAAUAUUGGUCAAUGGACGCAAGUCUGAACCAGCCAUGCCGCGUGAAGGAUGAAGGUCCUCUGGAUUGUAAACUUCUUUUAUCUGGGACGAAAACGGGAUUUUUAUCUCAAUUGACGGUACCAGAGGAAUAAGCACCGGCUAACUCCGUGCCAGCAGCCGCGGUAAUACGGAGGGUGCGAGCGUUAUCCGGAUUUACUGGGUUUAAAGGGUGCGUAGGUGGGCUUAUAAGUCAGUGGUGAAAUCUCCGAGCUUAACUUGGAAACUGCCGUUGAUACUAUAGGUCUUGAAUUAUCUGGAGGUAAGCGGAAUAUGUCAUGUAGCGGUGAAAUGCUUAGAUAUGACAUAGAACACCGAUUGCGAAGGCAGCUUACUACAUAUAAAUUGACGCUGAGGCACGAAAGCGUGGGGAUCGAACA